This 811-nucleotide ribosomal RNA is filed under the name uncultured bacterium. RNAcentral describes it as "bacterial SSU rRNA". It matches the Rfam family "Bacterial small subunit ribosomal RNA", at positions 35 to 846 of the family's 1533-position model. The record is from RNAcentral.
GCCCGCGGCUCUACUUAACAUGCAAGUCGAACGGUAGAGUAGCAAUACUCGAGAGUGGCGAACGGGUGAGUAAUAUAUCGGAACGUGCCCAACUGUGGGGGAUAACGUAGAGAAAUUUACGCUAAUACCGCAUACGAUCUAAGGAUGAAAGCGGGGGAUCGCAAGACCUCGCGCAGUUGGAGCGGCUGAUAUCAGAUUAGCUUGUUGGUGAGGUAAAAGCUCACCAAGGCGACGAUCUGUAGCUGGUUUGAGAGAACGACCAGCCACACUGGGACUGAGACACGGCCCAGACUCCUACGGGAGGCAGCAGUGGGGAAUUUUGGACAAUGGGCGAAAGCCUGAUCCAGCAAUGCCGCGUGCAGGAAGAAGGCCUUCGGGUUGUAAACUGCUUUUGUACGGAACGAAACGGUCCUUUUUAAUACAGAGGGCUAAUGACGGUACCGUAAGAAUAAGCACCGGCUAACUACGUGCCAGCAGCCGCGGUAAUACGUAGGGUGCGAGCGUUAAUCGGAAUUACUGGGCGUAAAGCGUGCGCAGGCGGUUAUAUAAGACAGUUGUGAAAUCCCCGGGCUCAACCUGGGAAUUGCAUCUGUGACUGUAUAGCUAGAGUACGGUAGAGGGGGAUGGAAUUCCGCGUGUAGCAGUGAAAUGCGUAGAUAUGCGGAGUGAACACCGAUGGCGAAGGCAAUCCCCUGGACCUGUACUGACGCUCAUGCACGAAAGCGUGGGGAGCAAACAGGAUUAGAUAACCCUGGUAGUCCACGCCCUAAACGAUGUCAACUGGUUGUAGGGUGCAUUUAGUACUCAGUUA